This 372-nucleotide RNase P RNA is filed under the name Sphingobacteriales bacterium. RNAcentral's name for it is "RNase P RNA component class A". It matches the Rfam family "Bacterial RNase P class A". Rfam says of the family: Ribonuclease P (RNase P) is a ubiquitous endoribonuclease, found in archaea, bacteria and eukarya as well as chloroplasts and mitochondria. Its best characterised activity is the generation of mature 5'-ends of tRNAs by cleaving the 5'-leader elements of precursor-tRNAs. Lineage: Bacteria; Pseudomonadati; Bacteroidota; Sphingobacteriia; Sphingobacteriales. The record is from RNAcentral.
ACUACAAGUCGGGUUAUCGCUUUGCUGCAAUAUGCAAAGAGGAAAGUCCGGACAGUAUAGGGCAGCGCACCACCUAACGGGUGGGGUUCCGUUAACCACGGAAUACAGAAAGUGCCACAGAAAAUGACCGCCAUCCUUCGGGGAGGUAAGGGUGAAAAUGUAGGGUAAAAGCCUACGCUAUGUAUUGGUAACAAUAAAUAGGGGUAAACCUUGCGUACUGAAAUGCCAAAUAGGCGUGCGUUUGAGGGCGGCUCGCCCGAUGUACGUGGGUUGGCAGCGAAGAGUUGCCGCGCGAGCGGUAUCCAAGAUAAAUGAUGACCGGUUUGGUGAAUGCCAGGCUUACAGAAUCCGGCUUAUAGAUUUGUAGUUGUU